CGUUAGCGGUAGCUCAGACGUCUACCUCACUUCUGUGGUGUUGUAGUUGUGUUUGUUGUCUGGAAAAAGUCGACCACAGCUCUUUCAAAACAGCAACACGACAGCGAAUUAUCGUAUUUAACUGAAUGUAAAUGGGAAGAUUUAGAGGGCUGUGACACUUUCUGUAAGCAAGUGAGAGAGGUGAAAGCGGAUUUCAGCACCUUCUGCAAUUACCACCUUUUCCUGGAAGUGCUUAUAGCUCUAAAGGUUGGAGAGCUCUCAGAGAUGCAUUAAUUCUGGAGGGCUCUAAUGCAAACAUUUCCCUGUAACGGUAUCCAGCAUAUCUACAUGAAAGGUGUGGUGAAGAAAAAGAAGGAGGUUCAAUUACCUAAGUUGCAGUAAACUAUUGAUAUCCCAAUGCCACUCACAAUGCUGAAGGAGAGCUGUUUUGCACAACUUUGAUGAACCUUUUUAAUUCACUUCAAAUGUUGAAGACUGUUGACCCUGUGAAGCUCCUGACAAACAGUUUUGGUGGAAACAGAUGUGCCAGCAAGACGUGCACCAACAGUUUGUCUUCUUUUAAACUCUGAUAUGUCACCUAUAAUCUUGUGGGGAUGGCAAAAUUUAAAGCAA
Non-coding RNA from Danio rerio (zebrafish), 612 nucleotides. Lineage: Eukaryota; Metazoa; Chordata; Actinopteri; Cypriniformes; Danionidae. The record is from Ensembl.